This 1000-nucleotide ribosomal RNA is filed under the name uncultured Planctomycetota bacterium. RNAcentral describes it as "bacterial SSU rRNA". It matches the Rfam family "Bacterial small subunit ribosomal RNA", at positions 48 to 1034 of the family's 1533-position model. The record is from RNAcentral. Lineage: Bacteria; Pseudomonadati; Planctomycetota.
GCUAGACAUGCAAGUCGAACGGACGGUCCAAUUUAUUGUACCGUUAGUGGCGAAAGGGUUAGUAACGGGUAGGUAACGUACCCCGUGCUUCGGGAUAGCGUCAGUUGCUUCGGUAACUUUCCGAAAGGGGCGGUAAUACCGGAUAAUAUCAGGGAUCGACAGGUUUUUGAUAAAAGAUUUAUCGGCAUGGGAGCGGCCUGCCUCCUAUCAGCUUGUUGGUGGGGUAACGGCUCACCAAGGCAACGACGGGUAGCGGGACUGAGAGGUUGGCCCGCAACAUCGGGACUGAGACACUGCCCGGACCUCCACGGAGGGCUGCAGUAACGAAUAUUGUGCAAUGGGCGAAAGCCUGACACAGCGACGCCGCGUGUAGGAGGAAGUCCCUCGGGAUGUAAACUACUGUCAGGGGUAAGAAAGUGCGCUUCGGCGUAUUGAUCGCACCCAGAGGAAGUCACGGCUAACUUCGUGCCAGCAGCCGCGGUAAGACGAAGGUGGCAAGCGUUGUUCGGUAUCACUGGGCUUAAAGCGUGUGUAGGCGGAAAAGUCAGCGUCUCGUGAAAGCCCCCGGCUCAACCGGGGAAUUGCGGGACGAACUACUUUUCUUGAGGCAAGUAGGGGUGCAUGGAACUCUUGGUGGAGCGGUGGAAUGCGUAGAUAUCAAGAGGAACGCCAGUGGAGAAAUCGGUGCACUGGGCUUGUCCUGACGCUGAGACACGAAAGCGUGGGGGAGCGAACGGGAUUAGAUACCCCGGUAGUCCACGCCGUAAACGAUGUCUACUAUGUUGUGGUGGUUCUGACACCAGCACAGCCGAAGCAAAAGUGCUAAGUAGACCGCCUGGGGAGUACGGUCGCAAGGCUAAAACUCAAAGGAAUUGACGGGGGCUCACACAAGCGGUGGAGCAUGUGGAUUAUUCGAAGCAACGCGUAGAACCUUACCUGGUUUGACAUGCUUGGAUGCCUGCCUGGAAACAGGUUAGUCGCCCUUCGGGGUGAACUUGCA